GACGAAGGAUGCAAGCGUUAUCCGGAUUCAUUGGGCUUAAAGGGCGCGUAGGCGGCCUGAUAAGUCAGUGGUGAAAUCUCUCGGCUUAACCGAGAAAUUGCCAUUGAUACUGUUAGGCUUGAGUAUAGUUGCCGUUGGCGGAAUAUGACAUGUAGUGGUGAAAUACAUAGAGAUGUCAUAGAACACCGAUUGCGAAGGCAGCUAACGAAACUAUAACUGACACUGAGGCUCGAAAGUGCGGGGAUCAAACAGG
Molecule: ribosomal RNA, 253 nt
Filed under: uncultured bacterium
Lineage: Bacteria
Description: partial 16S ribosomal RNA
Rfam family: Bacterial small subunit ribosomal RNA
Source: RNAcentral